AUUAAACGCUGGCGGCAUGCCUUACACAUGCAAGUCGAACGGUAGCGCGGGGCAACCUGGCGACGAGUGGCGAACGGGUGAGUAAAGCAUCGGAACGUGCCCUGGAAUGGGGGAUAACGUAGCGAAAGUUACGCUAAUACCGCAUAUUCUGUGAGCAGGAAAGCAGGGGAUCGCAAGACCUUGCGUUCUGGGAGCGGCCGAUGUCGGAUUAGCUAGUUGGUGGGGUAAAAGCCUACCAAGGCGACGAUCCGUAGCGGGUCUGAGAGGAUGAUCCGCCACACUGGGACUGAGACACGGCCCAGACUCCUACGGGAGGCAGCAGUGGGGAAUUUUGGACAAUGGGCGGAAGCCUGAUCCAGCCAUGCCGCGUGGGUGAAGAAGGCCUUCGGG
Molecule: ribosomal RNA, 390 nt
Filed under: uncultured bacterium
Lineage: Bacteria
Description: bacterial SSU rRNA
Rfam family: Bacterial small subunit ribosomal RNA
Source: RNAcentral